UACGAAGGGGGCUAGCGUUGUUCGGAAUUACUGGGCGUAAAGGGCUUGUAGGUGGCCAACUAAGUCAGACGUGAAAUCCCUCGGCUUAACCGGGGAACUGCGUCUGAUACUGGAUGGCUAGAGUGUGGGAGAGGGAUGCGGAAUUCCAGGUGUAGCGGUGAAAUGCGUAGAUAUCUGGAGGAAACCCGGUGGCGAAGGCGGCAUCCUGGACCACGACUGACACUGAAAAGCGAAAGCCAGGGGAGCAAACGGG
RNAcentral lists this ribosomal RNA (253 nucleotides) under uncultured bacterium. RNAcentral describes it as "partial 16S ribosomal RNA". It matches the Rfam family "Bacterial small subunit ribosomal RNA", at positions 524 to 776 of the family's 1533-position model. The record is from RNAcentral.